Callorhinus ursinus (northern fur seal) is the source of this 896-nucleotide non-coding RNA. NCBI's taxonomy places the organism in Eukaryota, Metazoa, Chordata, Mammalia, Carnivora, Otariidae. The record is from RefSeq and is a predicted model, not a curated record.
UAUGCCCAACGUGGGUCUUGAACUCACAACCCUGAGAUCAAGAGUCCCAUGUUCUUCAUACAGAGCCAGCCCAGAGCCCCCUUUAACACAGGUGACGUGAAUGUGCCCCCAAUGCAAAACAACCUCUGUGUGUUUUCAGAAGACAUGUCUUCGUGUUGGAGAGAGUGCCCGCAGACCGUCAGCUGUCCCACCACCCCCAAAGGGCAAGUGCACUUAAUCACUCUACAGAAUAGGAUGGCGCAGAGUGACGCUAUGUCCCCUCCAAAUCUACGUCCUAAAAAUGGUAGAUCUCCACCUGGAACGCAGUGUCUUCUCUCAGCUCACUGGCUCUGAAAGAAGCUAACCACCGCGUGUCCUGAGGAUACUCAAGCAGAAUGUGGCAGGGCCCCGGGUCGGGAGCAACGGAACUCCCCAGCUGACAUCGGCACCGGGUUGUCAGACAGGAGAAAUAGCGGUGGGACCCGCAGCCUCUGCCCAUGUCCCGAGAGGCCUCCGGAGAAAUCAGACCUGCUCGCACCUUGACCUUGGAUGUCCAGGCUGCAGAACUGUAAGACCCGCUCAGUGGUAUUCUGUUAUGGCUGCCCCUAGCAGACUGUCACGACAGGGAAAUAUGUACGGUGCCCAGAGAAAGACCUAGAAGGAGACCCAUGAACUGAAAACAGGCUCUGAGAAGGUAGUAGCGUUGGAGAUGCCGAUCAAAGAAAAGUGAUCACUGCAGAGUCGUGGCUGUAGGUUUGUAACUGUUUCCUGAGAAGUUCUUUCAACUUUUCAAAUGUUUGCACAUUUUAUAGUAAAUUGUUGGGGAGGGGGGAAGGACUGAGAAGCCAGCUUCAAGAGUACCCGCCCCACCCGGGACCAUGUGAGCUUCUAAGAAUAAAAAAUCGUGUAUAAUCUCA